AAUAGAUACCCCGGUAGUCCAUGCCGUAAACGUUGGGCGCUAGAUGUGGGGACCAUUCCACGGUUUCCGUGUCGCAGCUAACGCAUUAAGCGCCCCGCCUGGGGAGUACGGCCGCAAGGCUAAAACUCAAAGGAAUUGACGGGGGCCCGCACAAGCGGCGGAGCAUGCGGAUUAAUUCGAUGCAACGCGAAGAACCUUACCAAGGCUUGACAUAUACGAGAACGCUCUAGAAAUAGAGAACUCUUUGGACACUCGUAUACAGGUGGUGCAUGGUUGUCGUCAGCUCGUGUCGUGAGAUGUUGGGUUAAGUCCCGCAACGAGCGCAACCCUCGUUCUAUGUUGCCAGCGGUUCGGCCGGGAACUCAUAGGAGACUGCCGGGGUCAACUCGGAGGAAGGUGGGGAUGACGUCAAAUCAUCAUGCCCCUUAUGUCUUGGGCUUCACGCAUGCUACAAUGGCCGGUACAAAGGGCUGCAAUACCGUAAGUGGAGCGAAUCCCAAAAAGCCGGUCUCAGUUCGGAUUGAGGUCUGCAACUCG
Molecule: ribosomal RNA, 537 nt
Filed under: uncultured bacterium
Lineage: Bacteria
Description: bacterial SSU rRNA
Rfam family: Bacterial small subunit ribosomal RNA
Source: RNAcentral